GACGAACGCUGGCGGCAUGCUUAACACAUGCAAGUCGAACGGAAAGGCCCUGCUUUUGUGGGGUGCUCGAGUGGCGAACGGGUGAGUAACACGUGAGUAACCUGCCCUUGACUUUGGGAUAACUUCAGGAAACUGGGGCUAAUACCGGAUAGGAGCUCCUGCUGCAUGGUGGGGGUUGGAAAGUUUCGGCGGUUGGGGAUGGACUCGCGGCUUAUCAGCUUGUUGGUGGGGUAGUGGCUUACCAAGGCUUUGACGGGUAGCCGGCCUGAGAGGGUGACCGGCCACAUUGGGACUGAGAUACGGCCCAGACUCCUACGGGAGGCAGCAGUGGGGAAUAUUGCACAAUGGGCGGAAGCCUGAUGCAGCAACGCCGCGUGCGGGAUGACGGCCUUCGGGUUGUAAACCGCUUUCGCCUGUGACGAAGCGUGAGUGGCGGUAAUGGGUAAAGAAGCACCGGCUAACUACGUG
RNAcentral lists this ribosomal RNA (468 nucleotides) under uncultured bacterium. RNAcentral's name for it is "partial 16S ribosomal RNA". It matches the Rfam family "Bacterial small subunit ribosomal RNA", at positions 28 to 507 of the family's 1533-position model. The record is from RNAcentral.